This 700-nucleotide ribosomal RNA is filed under the name uncultured bacterium. Its description in RNAcentral is "bacterial SSU rRNA". It matches the Rfam family "Bacterial small subunit ribosomal RNA", at positions 94 to 828 of the family's 1533-position model. The record is from RNAcentral.
AGUGGCGGACGGGUGAGUAACGCGUAAGAAUCUAACUUCAGGACGGGGACAACAGUUGGAAACGACUGCUAAUACCCGAUGUGCCGCAAGGUGAAACCUAAUUGGCCUGGAGAAGAGCUUGCGUCUGACUAGCUAGUUGGUGGGGUAAAGGCCUACCAAGGCGACGAUCAGUAGCUGGUCUGAGAGGAUGAGCAGCCACACUGGGACUGAGACACGGCCCAGACUCCUACGGGAGGCAGCAGUGGGGAAUUUUCCGCAAUGGGCGAAAGCCUGACGGAGCAACGCCGCGUGAGGGAGGAAGGUCUUUGGAUUGUAAACCUCUUUUCUCAAGGAAGAAGUUCUGACGGUACUUGAGGAAUCAGCCUCGGCUAACUCCGUGCCAGCAGCCGCGGUAAUACGGGGGAGGCAAGCGUUAUCCGGAAUUAUUGGGCGUAAAGCGUCCGCAGGUGGUCAGCCAAGUCUGCCGUCAAAUCAGGUUGCUUAACGACCUAAAGGCGGUGGAAACUGGCAGACUAGAGAGCAGUAGGGGUAGCAGGAAUUCCCAGUGUAGCGGUGAAAUGCGUAGAGAUUGGGAAGAACAUCGGUGGCGAAAGCGUGCUACUGGGCUGUAUCUGACACUCAGGGACGAAAGCUAGGGGAGCGAAAGGGAUUAGAUACCCCUGUAGUCCUAGCCGUAAACGAUGGAUACUAGGCGUGGCUU